Rhagoletis pomonella (apple maggot) is the source of this 533-nucleotide long non-coding RNA. RefSeq lists it as uncharacterized. The record is from RefSeq and is a predicted model, not a curated record. The transcript is spliced from 2 exons. Lineage: Eukaryota; Metazoa; Arthropoda; Insecta; Diptera; Tephritidae.
GUUGUGGUCGGCUUCCACAACACCGCCUGUGAAAGCAUUCAAAGUGAAAUUAAUGAAAGCGCAUCUAAGCUGUGGAUGUCGGCACAAGGUUAGAGGCCACGAAAUCAAAAAGCAAAAAACAAGAAGGUAGUACGAGACUUUUUUUUGCCUCAAGCAUUGAUUUCCGAUUGUUUCAGGACUUACUAUAUAAUAUAAGUAAGUAAUGUAAAUAUGUACAUACGUACACCCAUACUCGUAUGGAUUAAAGUUCCACACUACGGAGUACAGGCUUUCGAUGCUUUCUCCUUAUAUAAAAAAAACAUACAUAGUCCUACAAAUCGGAGUUUUCGAUCACAGCUUUCCUAAACCUGAUGACGAAGUGAAAAUGAGUGUGGGUGGCGAGGUCGAGUGCGUGGUGGUCGUUCCGGAGGGUUGCCGUGUUGAGUGCUGUUGAUAGAACUGCUUUGUUAAACUGAUUGCCUUCAUUUUGUGACACAAUUUGGAAUUCUUCAUCUUCUACACACGAUUUAUUUCGGGGAAAGCGUAGCUCGAAA